This 253-nucleotide ribosomal RNA is filed under the name uncultured bacterium. RNAcentral's name for it is "partial 16S ribosomal RNA". It matches the Rfam family "Bacterial small subunit ribosomal RNA", at positions 524 to 776 of the family's 1533-position model. The record is from RNAcentral.
UACGAAGGGGGCUAGCGUUGUUCGGAAUUACUGGGCGUAAAGCGCGCGCAGGCGGCUAUCCAAGUCAGUGGUGAAAGCCCGGAGCUCAACUCCGGAACUGCCAUUGAAACUGUUUAGCUUGAGGAUGAGAGAGGUGAGUGGAAUUCCCAGUGUAGAGGUGAAAUUCGUAGAUAUUGGGAAGAACACCGGUGGCGAAGGCGGCUCACUGGCUCAUUACUGACGCUGAGGUGCGAAAGCGUGGGGAGCAAACAGG